This 200-nucleotide ribosomal RNA is filed under the name uncultured bacterium. Its description in RNAcentral is "partial 16S ribosomal RNA". It matches the Rfam family "Bacterial small subunit ribosomal RNA", at positions 1300 to 1500 of the family's 1533-position model. The record is from RNAcentral.
GCAGGCUGCAACUCGCCUGCAUGAAGUCGGAAUUGCUAGUAAUCGCGGAUCAGCAUGCCGCGGUGAAUACGUUCCCGGGCCUUGUACACACCGCCCGUCACACCAUGGGAGCCGGUAAUACCCGAAGUCAGUAGUCCAACCUCGUGAGGACGCUGCCGAAGGUAGGAUUGGCGACUGGGGUGAAGUCGUAACAAGGUACC